GAGUUUGAUCUUGGCUCAGAGCGAACGCUGGCGGCGUACUUAACACAUGCAAGUCGAACGAGGAGCGCCAGUGUAGCAAUACAUCGGUGCUUCUAGUGGCGCACGGGUGAGUAACACGUGGGCAACCUGCCCUUGAGUCCGGGAUACCCUCUCGAAAGGGAGGCUAAUACUGGAUACGCCCUGAGGGGGAAAGCAGAGAUGCGCUAAGAGAGAGGCCCGCGGCAGAUUAGGUAGUUGGUGGGGUAAAGGCCUACCAAGCCUGUGAUCUGUAGCUGGUUUGAGAGGAUGAUCAGCCACACUGGGACUGAGACACGGCCCAGACUCCUACGGGAGGCAGCAGUGGGGAAUAUUGGACAAUGGGGGAAACCCUGAUCCAGCAAUGCCGCGUGAAUGAAGAAGGCCUUAGGGUUGUAAAAUUCUUUUGUUCGUGACGAUAAUGACGGUAGCGGACGAAUAAGCCCCUGGCUAACUCUGUGCCAGCAGCCGCCGUAAC
This 493-nucleotide ribosomal RNA is filed under the name uncultured Alphaproteobacteria bacterium. Its description in RNAcentral is "bacterial SSU rRNA". It matches the Rfam family "Bacterial small subunit ribosomal RNA", at positions 9 to 524 of the family's 1533-position model. The record is from RNAcentral. Lineage: Bacteria; Pseudomonadati; Pseudomonadota; Alphaproteobacteria.